Molecule: long non-coding RNA, 727 nt
Organism: Cryptotermes secundus
Lineage: Eukaryota; Metazoa; Arthropoda; Insecta; Blattodea; Kalotermitidae
Exons: 3
Source: RefSeq, a predicted model, not a curated record
GUGAUGGUGUUACGUAAUUCAGUUAAUUGUUAAGCACGGAUUUUGAUAUUAUGAUGCGAAACAAGACUCGACGUUUACGCAUUAAGUGACAUCAGCAUGUUAUGUUUUAUAUGAACUGUGCUUACUACGUCGAAUGAAAUUAAAAACAUGCAUGAAGUCAAAAAGUGUUGCUAAGAUGUUAUAAUUUUUGUACCAUUUCUUGCAGGAUAAAUGGGGAAAACUAAAAAAUGCUUUGCCUGUGUGUUCAUGUCAUCCAGUGAGCACAGAGGAUUCAAAUUCUUACACCCUCACAGGGAUUCAACACAGUGCACCUGUGAGAGGAGAGGAGGGGAUCAGGUGUGUGGACAGUUGCAAAGGGAGACCCUUACUUUCUCGUGAUGAGACCACAGAGCCGUUAUAACAAUGAAUCAUUCAUCUGCUUGCUGCAUGCUUCAUACAGGUUUCUCUUCAAUCCUGAAGAUGGCGCUGGUACACACCAGAAGACUGAACUCUUAAUUCAAAUUGUUUUGUUAGUAGCAAAGUGAUACAUACUUUGUGGAUGUUGGAAAUAAUCAAGAGUAAAAAUGGAACCAAGUCAAGGAUUUUUUCAGAAAAAUGUAAUUAACAAAAGAAACACAAAGAGAAGAUUGUUGCUGUGAAAUACUCUGACAUGAAACAAACCAGAAACUGACCUAAAAUCUGAAUUAGCAAAAAAAAAUAUCAAUUUCAAUGGCAAAACCAAAAUCAG